This 341-nucleotide long non-coding RNA is filed under the name Sorghum bicolor (sorghum). RNAcentral's name for it is "long non-coding RNA (SBIC_LNC011003)". Lineage: Eukaryota; Viridiplantae; Streptophyta; Magnoliopsida; Poales; Poaceae. The record is from RNAcentral.
AGUGCUUAUUUUAGGACACUAAGCUUGUUCUUGGGAAACCAUCAAUUUAUGUUGGCGAAGUGGUUUCCCCUCCAACGCUGACCUAUAUCAAGAUCAACUCAACGAGAUCUGCAAUAUUUAUUAUAGACAUAUGCAUCGACAACCGCCCUUUUAAAGUUUUUAUAAAUAGAAAGAAAGAGGGGGUUGGAGAUCUCGAAUGUGGUGAUGUUGGAGAGACCAAUUGAUUGGGAAGAUGUUGCAUAUGAGCAUGGAGUAAAUGAAGUGGCUAUGAAAUAAAUUCCAUGCUCAUUAAUGCUUGGAGUGAAAUCCAUGUGGUGUGGUGAAAAUGGUAAGGUGAAUGU